Molecule: ribosomal RNA, 50 nt
Filed under: Teratosphaeria viscida
Lineage: Eukaryota; Fungi; Ascomycota; Dothideomycetes; Mycosphaerellales; Teratosphaeriaceae
Description: partial 5.8S ribosomal RNA
Source: RNAcentral
GUGAANCAUCGAAUCUUUGAACGCACAUUGCGCCCCCUGGUAUUCCGGGG